Long non-coding RNA from Eurytemora carolleeae, 864 nucleotides. RefSeq lists it as uncharacterized. Lineage: Eukaryota; Metazoa; Arthropoda; Copepoda; Calanoida; Temoridae. The transcript has 3 exons. The record is from RefSeq and is a predicted model, not a curated record.
UCACUAUUUGAGGAAGCUAUUUUAAGAGAAUUCAAUUUAGUCUUGAAGAGUUACAUAAAAGAAUAACUAAAUUAGUUUAAAAAUAUUAUACUUAAAACACAUUGGAGAUCAGAAGUACUAAAAUUAUAAAUUAUAAUAUACGUGCAUUGUCACAAAUGUCACACCCCCUCAGAAAAUCAUUUUUUAUAUAAGUUUGCCUGGAACGACUACUUUCUUUUGGGGGGGUUAAUUUGCUGAAUUGGGAUGAAUUAAUUAUCUUAAGGGAAAAAUCAAUGCAUUUUUUGGGGAAAAGUAUCAAGAAAGAAUGUUAAAAGUUGCCUUUUUUAUGAAAUUGUGAUUUUUUGUGUUUAUAGAUUUGGUAAUGGCCUACCAAAUAUGUAAUUAUGUUGGAUAAAAACAUUGCUUAAUUAUUACUAAUUCUGUUAAGAUCCCUGACUACAGCGAAAGGUUGGGUUUAGGCUGGGUUAAACCCCACAUUUCUAAAAGAAAUCCUACUGGAGAAUGUCCAAUCAGCUGUUACAUCUGUAAAACAGGGCAAUUUAAUCCAGUUCAAGAGAAUUAUAAAUCUGAUGAGAAGGAAGGAAGGAAGCAAGGAAGGAUACAGCUAUGUACGACAUGCUUUACUGAAAUACAUGUUGGAAAAGUCCAUAGUUGUUACGCAUACAGGGUUUCUGACAACAUUGUGAACCUUGUCCAAACAGUUCCUGCUAAGUCACGGGAAAAGAUUAAAAUAAUUUUAAAAUCUUUUAGGAUAACAAGUUAUAAAAAAUUUAGAAAAACUGUAGAUUUUUUGUUGAUUUUAUCCUAUAAUCAUUCAUGAACUACAAAUGGUAUAAUUGCUAGUUAUAAACCAAGGUUUGUGAA